CUCCACUUGCAAAUACACAUGCCCUAGAUUAGGGUGCUUAACCUCCCUUAGCCUCAGUUUCUCUGUCUGCAGAAUGGGGAGAAUGCUUUCCCCAGAUGCUGGUCAAUGCCUGUCCCCAUAUCAACUUUAACCUGUCUGGCUCACUUUCUGCUUUUGGCAUUGAGUGAGGUUUUCCAAGCACAGUUGAGUCCCCUGGUCCCAGCCUGCCUUCAGCUGAUCUUGGCAUCGAGAUGAUGGUGUCCUCAGAGGCCAAGUUCUCCUGGGGUCCUCACUUUCUAGACUGCUCAGGCUGCUCCCCACCAGCAGCUUCAGGAGCCCCCAAGAUUUGUCAGAAUUGCACUUCUCAGGCCCCCCAGGACCCCUGAAUGUAACCCUAAAUUUCAGCUGGACCCGUUAUAGGGGCGUGUGCCCACGAGGGGGAAGGUCUGCUCAGAAACCCUGGUUUCUCCAUCUUGGCUCCAGCUCCCACACACUGUGUGUGAAUCAUGCCUCAGUGCCGCUGAUUCAAAAGGUGAGACAUGUACUUUUUGUCCCUCCCCGGCUCCUGGUGAGGAGUCUCUUCCCUAAAGCUCAAAUCACAUGCUGGCGACUCUCAGACGUCAGGAGAAGCAGCCAGUGAGGGCUUGUUCCCAAGUCCAAGCUUGUUCUGAUGUGAGACUGGCCGAUAAGAUGAGAGAAGAUGAGGUGUUGAGGCAAGGAAUAUGAGCCGGCUGACUGAAGAGAUGGCCAUCUAGUGUCUUCAUAAGAACCAUCUUAUCGGGUCUGGAUGACAGGUUCUUUUAUAGAACAGAGAGGGGGAGGAGGUUCUUCAGUGAAUGUUGGCCAACCUCUGGUUUAGAGGAAGCUGUAUCUUCCAAAAAUCGUACAAGCCAACACCUGGAUCCUUGUGCUGUUGUUCAGAAGAUCAAAACCGCACAGGAUGGAGUGAGCCUGUGGGUACCACACACUUUUGCAGGAGAGAGACUGUCAUUGCUGUGGGGAGGACGGGAGGAGCCGGCUGGUCACAGAGUGGGCUGUCCACUGCAUGAUAGGAACAGACUUUGGCAUCAGAAAGCAGGUCCAGCAACAAGUGAGAAGAGUGGGACCCUGUACGGAAUCUGCCGUGCCCUGUGGAAUAAGAAUGUGCCCGGCCCUGUGAAUUGCUGGCUGAAAAUGCCCACUGGAUGUGUUCAGCCUGUUUUCACUCAUCAGCCUUCAGAGCAUUCCCUGAGGUCUCGAGAAUACGCACAGCGUCCACAUCAGCGUCCUUUCCACCAGAUCGGUCCCUGCCAGGUCUGA
This 1278-nucleotide long non-coding RNA is filed under the name Ovis aries (sheep). RNAcentral's name for it is "lncRNA (ENSOARG00000026227.1)". The record is from RNAcentral. Lineage: Eukaryota; Metazoa; Chordata; Mammalia; Artiodactyla; Bovidae.